Molecule: ribosomal RNA, 427 nt
Filed under: uncultured bacterium
Lineage: Bacteria
Also listed under: 1 other name
Description: bacterial SSU rRNA
Rfam family: Bacterial small subunit ribosomal RNA
Source: RNAcentral
UGGGGAAUCUUGCGCAAUGCGCGAAAGCGUGACGCAGCAACGCCGCGUGGGGGAAGAAGGCCUUCGGGUUGUAAACCCCUUUCAGUUGGGACGAAGCUUCGUCGGUUAAUAGCCGGCUGGAGUGACGGUACCUUCAGAAGAAGCCCCGGCUAACUACGUGCCAGCAGCCGCGGUAAUACGUAGGGGGCUAGCGUUGUCCGGAAUCAUUGGGCGUAAAGCGCGUGUAGGCGGUCCGGUAAGUCCGCUGUGAAAGUCGGGGGCUCAACCCUCGGAUGCCGGUGGAUACUGUCGGGCUUGAGUACGGAAGAGGCGAGUGGAAUUCCUGGUGUAGCGGUGAAAUGCGCAGAUAUCAGGAGGAACACCAAUUGCGAAGGCAGCUCGCUGGGACGUUACUGACGCUGAGACGCGAAAGCGUGGGGAGCAAACA